RNAcentral lists this long non-coding RNA (1333 nucleotides) under Nicotiana benthamiana. RNAcentral describes it as "long non-coding RNA (NBEN_LNC035670)". Lineage: Eukaryota; Viridiplantae; Streptophyta; Magnoliopsida; Solanales; Solanaceae. The record is from RNAcentral.
AUGAAAGAAAGGGGGAACAAUUACAAAAAGAGAAAAACACGCAAAAUCCAUCAUACCCCUCACCUCUGCUGCUUCUUCCUCUUCAUUUCACCUUCUUAACACUCAUUUUCUCAGAAAAAACACCCACGGACUUUGACCUCACUCAGAUACGCCUACAAACACAUACCGGCAAUCGAGAAUCUCCCCGGAUUCGGUCCUUUCGGUUGUGAACGAGCAGAGAGAGGAGCUGAACAGAGGAUUUGAAAUCAUGGGGGUUUCUCUCGAAAUUCCGGGGUAAAAUUUGGGAAAAUCAGGUAGAAACUUUCAUUGAGAAAAUCGAAAUACAAGAAAACAUUCCAUUUCCUUUGUAGAUCUUUUGAUUUGAAGUGGAAGGAAGCUGAGGUGGAGAGAUUGAAUUGUUGAGUUGCUGUCCGCGUUUUCGAAUCUCAGUUGGUUCCUGCUUUAGCUGUCAAAGUGCAAAUCUCUGGCUGUUUAUCGUUGAUGUUGCUGGAUCCCAAAAGGGUAUUGAAUUCUUUUGUCUUUCUGCGUUUAGGUAAGUUCUACACUUUGUAAUUAUAAUGAACUAAAAUAUGGUGUCUCGAUUUCCCUAUCAUGUAUUUAUUUUGCUUGUUUGUUAGUGAUGCCACAAUCUCUCUUAGGUGUAUUUGAUGUUGCAUUUUACUUAGCUGCUAUUUGUAGUUGAAUGAAUUUAAAGUCGGCUUAUGUGCAGUAGCUCGAAGUACAACACCCAUAUGGAUCAACUCGAUAUCUAUGGUCAAUUAAUGGUCACUACGCAUCAUUAGUUGUUAAACCAUUUGUUAGUCUUAAAUGAGGUGGAAGUUUUGUUUAAAUUUUUGUAGAUUUAGCUAUAAUUCAAACAGAAGGUUAUCAUAGUGUCAUUAGUGAAUACAUGGCUAUCAUUUGCAUAUCUGACCACUAACCGGUUAUAUCAGUUAAAUCUAAAGCUAAGGAUUGGAAUUGAAGUCGUUUAUGUAAAGAAGUUUAAGAUGAAGAUUAGCUGUGCCCUGUUGAGAAUAGCUAUUAUUGCUUUCUGGAUAUAUUAGAAUGUAUUAUGCUCAUUAUCAUUUUUGAGAAUUGUAAUUGAAGUGACUAGAACUGUAACUUCCAUUUAUAUUUGUUGCAUUUUCCAUCAAUUGGUAAUUUUGCUUAUUCUCUUUGUUUUUGCGGUUUCCAACUACCGUUACUUCCUGAGUGCUUCUCUAUUCAAUGGCGAAGUUUAGUGGUCAUUACACUUUCGAGAUUUUAGAUUAAUGUAGUAAUAUUAGUUCUACUUUGAUGGAAUACAUCUCAUAGUUGGUCACGAAGAGCAAAUAGAGGGCUAGCAAGUAUCUAC